GAUGAACGCUGGCGGCGUGCCUAAUACAUGCAAGUCGAGCGAACAGACGAGGAGCUUGCUCCUCUGACGUUAGCGGCGGACGGGUGAGUAACACGUGGAUAACCUACCUAUAAGACUGGGAUAACUUCGGGAAACCGGAGCUAAUACCGGAUAAUAUAUUGAACCGCAUGGUUCAAUAGUGAAAGACGGUUUUGCUGUCACUUAUAGAUGGAUCCGCGCCGCAUUAGCUAGUUGGGAAGGUAACGGCUUACCAAGGCAACGAUGCGUAGCCGACCUGAGAGGGUGAUCGGCCACACUGGAACUGAGACACGGUCCAGACUCCUACGGGAGGCAGCAGUAGGGAAUCUUCCGCAAUGGGCGAAAGCCUGACGGAGCAACGCCGCGUGAGUGAUGAUGGUCUUCGGAUCGUAAAACUCUGUUAUUAGGGAAGAACAAAUGUGUAAGUAACUAUGCACGUCUUGACGGUACCUAAUCAGAAAGCCACGGCUAACUACGUG
This 497-nucleotide ribosomal RNA is filed under the name uncultured bacterium. Its description in RNAcentral is "partial 16S ribosomal RNA". It matches the Rfam family "Bacterial small subunit ribosomal RNA", at positions 28 to 507 of the family's 1533-position model. The record is from RNAcentral.